RNAcentral lists this signal recognition particle RNA (97 nucleotides) under Mycoplasmopsis synoviae. RNAcentral describes it as "Mycoplasma synoviae signal recognition particle sRNA small type". It matches the Rfam family "Bacterial small signal recognition particle RNA". Rfam says of the family: The signal recognition particle (SRP) is a universally conserved ribonucleoprotein involved in the co-translational targeting of proteins to membranes. Archaeal SRP consists of a 7S RNA and homologues of the eukaryotic SRP19 and SRP54 proteins. The record is from RNAcentral. RNAcentral also lists the same sequence under 1 other name. Lineage: Bacteria; Bacillati; Mycoplasmatota; Mycoplasmoidales; Metamycoplasmataceae.
UACAUAUGCCAUUAAAACGAUAACUCUUUAACCUGGUCAGGAUAGAAAUAUAGCAGCCACAUAAGAAAGUGUUGUGUUUAAUGGUACUUUAUUAUUU